Long non-coding RNA from Ornithodoros turicata, 4702 nucleotides. RefSeq lists it as uncharacterized. The record is from RefSeq and is a predicted model, not a curated record. The transcript is spliced from 5 exons. Lineage: Eukaryota; Metazoa; Arthropoda; Arachnida; Ixodida; Argasidae.
ACUGGCUCAGAUGUACUUAAAGGGGGUCGCGACACCUUAACAGAUGUUGUUCAUUACAUGAUGCACACAUUGUACUGUAUGCCAGAGCAUUGAGGGAAAAUAUUAUUGAGAAUUCCGCUGGUCGUUUUAGUGUAGCAUAGUGUAGCGUGCUGGAGUAGGCUCGGUGUAGCAAAAUCGUGUCGGUGCAGCUUACACCGGUUCGCCCAGCCGAACAUGAUAGGCGGUGCAAGUGUCGACAGUUCAUCGUCGAACACCUGCAGAGACUCGAACGAUUCCGCGGUAGCCGUCUUUGUCGACCGCUGGGAAGUUCGAAAUGCCAGUGAAAGGAAGGUGGCGGCGGCGGACGAGGGAGGCGGAAAUGAGUGCCGUGUUCCGGUCCACACCGCAGAUAUUCACUGUGUGGCGAAAGCUGCACCGCUGUUACAAUCGUCAGUGUGAGUCACACUCAGACGACCAGCGAAACACGGCACACAUUGCACUGGAACGACCAGUGAAACAUGCACGCUCGCACCAGCGCAACGUUUUCUGCACUAAAACGACCAGCGGAAUUCGCCAUAGUAUUUUUCUACGUGUCCUACAUUGCGAGGUAUGAGCCCUUGAGCACACGUACACCUCGCAUCAGAGUUAACUUGAAUGUCAUUCCUGCUGGUGCUUAGAAGAAAUAACGGCGGAACGUGUUUCGGUCACCUCAUUCCAGGUAGAGGGGUGACCAUCGUUACGAAGGCGUUGUUUUAAUGCUUGACUCUGCCAGGAUGGCUCUCUUUCCGUUUCGCAGGCUGGAGCGGCGUUCAAGUUAACUUUGACGCGAGCUGUAGAGCCGCCGGAAGCUCAGCCGAAAUCGCCGCUUCGAAAACAAUGCCGCCACUGGCGCAAAUACAGAGAAUAGGUCAUAUUCGUUGCGUUAAAUUCAUUCUUGCUCAUUGGCCUUUAAGAACUGAUGUCAGUGUUCGCGCUAAUUGAGUGCGAAUCAUUUGACUGAGAAGAGAGGUGACCAGUCGCGCAUGCGCGCGUCUCCUGUCUCCUGGCUUUUGCUUGUCUGUUGCAGUGGAGUGCAGCUGUAGCUUCCACAGUUUCGCCACGAAAACCACCGCCCCCCUUGACCACGUGAUCAUCCGUAACGAAUCACGACAAAAUAGCCGGAAAACGGCGCCAAAGAGCGCGCGCUGGCUGAUCGAACUGCGCGUGUGCGCUGCGUGCCCUCUCCACACCCUCUCACUCAUCUCCUCCCCCCCCCCCCUGUUCCGAGCGCUUCGCCAGGUCAUCUGCUAAUAUUAUCGGGAAGCAGAAAAUGAAAAUCCAGAAGACGAAGGAAUUCACAUGUACAAAUUUAUUGACACGGUAAACAUAUACACAAGAAGCAACAUUUGAAUGCAAGUAAAUCUACACGAUUAUUACAGAAUACUGCAGAAUAAACAGAUAAUAAAUAGCGCCGAGCAACAGAAAGCGUGACUAUCAUAUUAUACAAUCCUUAAGGGAACCUAUUCGGUUUGGAGAAAGUAGAUAUUAUUAUACAUAUCUAUAGCACGUGAUGAGUCGCAGAAGCCAUCCGCUUCAUCCCAGCACAACUGUCGAAUUUUCUGGUGACAGGGGCCACAUGCUCGCGGAUCGCAGGGCCACGAACAGCUGUCCGUGUCUGAAUGAAAAAACAAAAAACAAAGGAACCUGCUAAUGAUAUGGUAAAGGGGAGCACAGGCAACGUUAAUUGGCUGAAUACGCUCUAUAAGACAUGCCAACGUUACGCGUCUAAUGUCGACUAAUGCCAAAAUUGGAGGAGCCCUGCGUACGCGAUGCACGCUGUUUUGCUUUUCAUGCAUACCAGUGUAUUAAGCAUCAGACACAUUCAAACAGCGGAACAAAACGCAAGAAGCAACGCCACGCAGAAUCAUCAACCAGAUCAUGACUGUUAACCGGCAGAAAGUGAUGUAAUACGGGGCAAGGUGCACACAGUUAGGCGACAGUAUUAAACGUCUGAUCACUGACAUGCAUCAUACGUUUGUCUGCUUACCUUUCAUUCAGGCGUUCAUCCAUGGCUCGAAGAUCUUCGAAAUCCACGAAACGAAAUCACCGCCUGCUCACAUAGGCAGACGCGAGCUACACAACGGUCAGACGGGUCGGCGCCUCGGAGAAACGAACGCGGGCGAAUCCACCGGUUAAAUGAGCCUCAGCCAAUCAUGAUCGAGAAGGGUCACGUGGGAGACCGGAGCCAAUGGAAAGUAAAUAGCCGGAAUUUGGCGGGAAAUGCCAGUGGCGACACUAUUUGCGCGGCGGCGAAACCGGCUUACUGUGCCUCCUCUGUCUGUUGUAUCCGCUCCGCCCGUUGGUCUCCGUGUUCGCGGACGCUAGACGCUGGCGGGUAGUUUCGGUGGCUUCUAGUGUUUCCGGUAUAGAUUGUGGCGAACUACCGUGCACUUCCGAUGCCAACACAGAAUGACAGAUCCAUCUCAUCAUCAUCCGAACAAUGGAAAGGAGCGGGAUAUCCCAGGAAAUCCUUGCACCACCAAAGGAUGUGGAAAUCGUUCGUGUGGAAGUCGGCAUUCCUUCUUCCGAUUUCCCAUCGACGGUAAGACUAGUUUAGUUACUUUCUACAGAAGGAAACAAAGUCGCUCACUAACGUUUCAGGCGUCUCAUAGUGCAGUGCCAUAAUUUGUACAGUUCGGAUGCCGCUGAUUACACUGAGGGAAGGUAAAACGGGUAGGAACGCUGUAUUACAAUAUUAAACUUAAAAUGAACAAGACUUUCGUGCAACGCCUGCACUUCAUCAGGUUAUCACGACUCAUGUUAUUACUAAUCAGAUUAUAUGUGCUUGUUAUAGUAGUUGUCUCUCACGUAGCAGGUAUUCAUCUACUGUGAUCUACGAACCUUUGUGACACGUAUGCUUUCGUGUUUAUAUAGGAGAUCAGCAUGGAUUGCCUUUACACAACGCUCUUAGCUGAAUGACGCAUCAGACUCAGCUCUCAAUAAUAGGCUGUUGUGCGGCAAGCAUUUCACACUGAAUUCCAUCUCGUGCCAGAGUUGGGCUGAGAACAGCUUGCCCGAUAGUUUCACGACGAUACCUUUGCAGCAGAGUGUGGAAUACACCAAGCACUGUCACCCUAGACCUACAGUCGCUACCUGCUGGCACGCUGUAAGGCGCCACCGUGACAGUGGACUGUGCGCUGUGCGCUCAACAAAGCACAAACCCCAAGAAAAACGGUAUACAAGCGCCAAAUCUGUCGGUAUGCAUUUAGAAGGUGGUGUUGCCGUGCAGAAACACUAGCUGCUACCUCGUCCGGCAGAAGACUCUUCCUUCUAGAUGUCACGAGUCGUCCAUGAUGUACACUUUUUUUUUUCAAUGUUCCCACAGCCAUCGUCGACAACGACACACCUGGCACAGCGGUUCUAGAAAACUUGGAUAUGUGGACUGUGACUUGCUUCAGUGUUGAAACACGUAGUGCUCCAGUGAAGCCUCUUAUAUGGCAUAUGUGUGUAAUGUUACUUUUGUUAGCUAAUUUAUUAAGACAAAUAAAUUUGAUUCAUAAACCUCCAUCGCUUUUCAUUCUUCCAAUUUUUCGGCACACGGACGUUACUAUAGCUAGCGCGGAAAGAAAGUGCGCGAAGUUGGCGGAGCGAGAGCAGGCGACAAACCCGAGGAGAGAACGUUGAGGAGAUAGGAAACCUGGUCGGUCUGCGCAUGCGCACUACACCAUGGACCUGCACUUGCUUUUUCCCGCGCGGCGUAUCGAAAAGCAUUGUGAAUGGCUCCUGGAUAUCACGUCCCAAGCAGCACAAUGAACUGAAAGUCGCGUGCAAUAGGGGUGGACGGGUAGGUGGAAGGCCUUGAACAGACUCGUGAAACUAAAGAACAUUGAUAAGACACAGACCGUCCACCCCUAUUGCACUCGACUUUCAGUACAUUGUGCCGCUUGGGGUGGAGGCCUCCCAUUUUUCCUGAACCAUUGUAUCAAUGGGAGCUUCUGGCUGCUACACAUGUACGCGUCAUGCUCUGACAUCAGAGGCGCAAGGGCUACGGCCGUCCCCAUAGGUAAUCCUGAGCACGUGGCCACUCUUGGGCUGCCUUGCUGGCGGAGACACGUGCUGUGAUGUCGGAGCCGGAUGAGUUUCGAUAUUCGCGGUGUCGGUUAUCUACGCUAUGUUUAUUAGCCCCUUUGCUGUAAAACUUCGAAUCCAGGUCCACAUCAGUGCAGGUGACAGUCUUUUGGAUUAUCUGGAAUAACUUGGGACGAACUGUCGCAACGCAUCCAGGAAAUCGAAUCUACAAAAGCCAAGAAUAACUUGUCGUAGAGCAGCACAGGAGAAACGAACUUCCCAUGAUAAAGAAGGGCAUUCUAGUAAAUAUUUUCCUCACGACGUGGAAUUCCAGGCACCCCGCUCGGCCUGUGUGCAUGAAGCGGGGGCAAAGUACCCGGUAGCCUAAAACCUUUGUGACGGGAAGCCGGAAGCAUUGUGCCCCAGUCCCCUCCGGCGGAUUAAAAACUAUCCACAUGUAGUUGACGCAAUUAACGAAGGGCAGAAAUGCACCGUUCCGCAUAUACGGAGGGGCACUGAAUAUUCGCAUUGUUAUUCUGAGAUACUUGUCGUGGAAACGGAUCCAUCAUAGGACCAUUGUUGGUGUAAUCUAGCUCUGUACUAUUCAGCACUGUGGUUAAAAGUGUUCGUCCGAACUAAGCUUUAAGAGAGCAUGCCGUUACUGAAAUAUAUUUAU